Long non-coding RNA from Phyllopteryx taeniolatus (common seadragon), 1266 nucleotides. RefSeq lists it as uncharacterized. The record is from RefSeq and is a predicted model, not a curated record. NCBI's taxonomy places the organism in Eukaryota, Metazoa, Chordata, Actinopteri, Syngnathiformes, Syngnathidae. The transcript is spliced from 3 exons.
CCUCCUCCAGUGAGGCGCCAAAAAGAGCAGCGAGCUGCUGAGGCUGAGCUCCAAAAAUCUCCGAAGGCCCGAUUGUCGGAUGUGUCAAGAUUGUCAUAUACUGCCCUGCAGUUCCAUUAUUGGAGACGGGACGGCGCUUUGUGUCCUCUCUCCGCCCCCUCCCCUCUCUGUCUUCAAUCAGCCUCAUCACCACCAGUGUAUAGAAGCCUGCCUGUUCCCGGAAAUCCUCGCCUAAGUGUUGCAGCCUCUCCUAGCGUGCUCCCCUGUGUUCCUGACCCACAUCAUUCCUGCCACCAAGCCAGCCGCCUGUUCUGUCCCCUGCCUGCCAACAGAUCCAGGACCACCUCCAAAACCUUUCCUCAAUAAACAGUUCAUCAUUUUACAUCUGCCGCCGCCUGCUCUUGGGUACAGCUACUCCCCACACGUGACAAAGAUUAUCCUAAGUGAUUAUCAUGCGGUAUUGAGUGUUUAAGUUAAAAGUGAUUUUUCCUCCCCAAUGUGCUAAAUAAAAUUGUUGGGACGGGCAAUUGCAGAACUAUAGGCAUAUUAUGACAAGACAGAACAACAGGUGUAUUUUUUUGGGGAGAACAUUGACCAAUUUUGGGGGGAAAGCAAAGGCUUCUUUUCCAGAAUUAAAGACAUACUAUUUCGAGAAUAAAGUUGGAUUUUAUAAAUUCACUUAUUUUAUACUGUAUAGACAUUCCCAUGUUGAACUUUGACUUCUAUAUUAUAAUUCAGUAUUAUGACCUUAUCUUGGAAAAUACAACUUUAUUCUCAUAAUAUUACAGUUUUGUUCUUGUAAAGAUUACGAUUUUUCCUUGAAAAAAGUGACUUUAUUCUCACAUCAUUGCAAUGUGUUUCUCAAAAAAAAAAAAAUUUUUUUUUUAUUGCAACAUUACUUUUUUCUUGGAAACUAGCAUUUUUUAAAGGGAUUUAGGGGUGCAUAUAUUAUAAUACAUAUUGGACUACCCUCCCACCCCCCUCCACACACACACACACACACACAAUUUCACAUACUUGAUCCAAAAAUUACAAAUAUUUAUUUAUACAUAUAAUGUAUCUUUUUUCAUCUUUCUAUGCAUGUGACAUAUACUGCAGUUACAGGCAACGCAAAUAACUGCUCUUCCACUAGAUGGCAGAUGUAACAAUUAACCCUUCACAUUUAUCUUUUUUUUUUUUUAAGUACACUAGACUGAAUAUGCUUUUUUUUUUACAUUUUUGUUUGGUGUUUCUUCUCAUAUAAAAUAUGUGCCUUGGCUCAAUAAA